Molecule: long non-coding RNA, 653 nt
Filed under: Homo sapiens (human)
Lineage: Eukaryota; Metazoa; Chordata; Mammalia; Primates; Hominidae
Description: non-protein coding lnc-TRUB2-1:1
Source: RNAcentral
CUCUGACCUUAUGCACACCAGGAUUCAUUCAAGGAGCUCAGAACAAGGUUUCCCUCCUGAAAAGUCCAUGGUUCUGAGGUGGGCCUCCAGCCUCCCCUGCCCUUCCUCUGCUAUUGGGAUCCCUGAACCAGACGUGGUGCGCACAGGGAAGGCUGGGGCCCUGGUAUGGCAGUGCUGAGCAGGUCUUCAGACAACCCGUGGUUCCAACCCCAGCUCUAUUCCUACUGCCUCGUUAGUAAAACACAAGCAAAAUACCAUCUCCCUCCUUGGGUGGUGACCUUGAGGUGUCAGUGCGAUAAUGCAUCUCAAGUGCUUAGUACUGCCUGACAUAUAGUACAGUUAGAAACUGAUUAUAGAUAGGGAAACUGAGGCACUGGUAAACAUACCAGGGGGCCUGUGGCCUGUGUUUUAGUUACUCCAGGCAAUUCUCUGCCUGCCUCUGGGCCAUCAAUCAUCUAUUCACGCAAUGAGGAAUUGGCCUGAAAAAUGCUAAAGCCUCUUCCAUCUUGGGGCUUUUCUGGUUCUAAACCCAAGCCAGGGCCACCCACUCUUCUAAUACCUUUCAUCCAGCCGGUCCUUGUUCCUUGGCUCUUACCCAAGGAAAAUGCCUUUUUGCCACUCCAAAAUGAACUGCAGCUUUUUGUGCUUAUGAA